AACCGCUGGGUUGACCCUGUCUCCGAUGAAACUUCCCAACAAUGCAGCUGCUGUGAGCACCGGCUUUUUAAGUCCACAGGAGAGAGCGGUUCUCAGCGCUGCUGCCGCCGAUUUGGUGGGCUCUUUCCGGGAAAUAAAGGUUUUGGAGUCAGUCAGGCCAUCUCUCAGCUAUGAGUGAGACGCGAGGCCGCGGUCUAAAGUUUGCAGUUCCCCCGCGAACAGCAGCCCUUCACCGGCUCAGAUUUCGGCGUGCAUGAGAAUUAGCACUAUUUCGCUCAUCAGUGAGUUUAAUCAGCGAGUCCAUCAAAAGGUGUAAUCAUCCCCUGAUUGGACGAGAGGAAAUGCCAGAACGCUGAUCAAAACAUGCACAGAGACACCUGCCGUUCCAACGUCGACAAUCAAAGCGGCCCUACUGUUACCAUGGAGAUUAUCAAAGCCAGAAUCUUCGUCAUCCUAACCUUUGAGGUUAAAGCAAGACAUUGCACCAGCAAAGGUUAACACAGGGACACAUUUAACUGUCAGUGUGUGCAGGCUCAGUGGAUGACAUUUGUGAAGCCAUUAUAAAGGCUAUGUGGUUGCUUAACAUAAUGAAUACAGGUCAAAGCUUGAGACACAGCAAUCUGCUAUGAACUUUAAGUGAAUUCUAAUCUUAUUUAAAUAGAAAACUGUAAAUAAUUAAGCAUCAACCGGUUCAUAUCAAAUAUAUGUAAAAAACUCUCAAAUAGGCAAAUGACUAAUUACUCAUACUUAGGUGUAGAGAUUUGAACAAAUCCCUAAAUGUAAGUAUUAAAUUUCAGCAUGCAACUCUUUGUGCUAUGGACAUGAAGGACACAUUAAACCAUGUUACUUACUGAAAGGUGGUUUGCUGUUGUGCUAUUUUAGAAAUUAUUGGAGACCAAUGUGUGGUUGACCAAUAUGGAUUUUCUUUGAUGGCUGAUAAAUAAAUGGCUAAAUAAAAUGGCUUACAUCACACAAAUUUAAAGACAGCAAAUAACAUGCAAUGAAAGUGAUAUUUAUGGUUAUGUAAUAUUUACCUAAAGAAUU
Onychostoma macrolepis is the source of this 1044-nucleotide long non-coding RNA. RefSeq lists it as uncharacterized. NCBI's taxonomy places the organism in Eukaryota, Metazoa, Chordata, Actinopteri, Cypriniformes, Cyprinidae. The record is from RefSeq and is a predicted model, not a curated record. The transcript has 3 exons.